RNAcentral lists this ribosomal RNA (180 nucleotides) under uncultured bacterium. RNAcentral describes it as "partial 16S ribosomal RNA". It matches the Rfam family "Bacterial small subunit ribosomal RNA", at positions 1307 to 1500 of the family's 1533-position model. The record is from RNAcentral.
GCAACUCGCCUACAUGAAGCUGGAAUUGCUAGUAAUCACAGGUCAGCAUACUGUGGUGAAUACGUUCCCGGGCCUUGUACACACCGCCCGUCACACCAUGAGAGUUGAGAAUACCCGAAGUCCAUGUCAAAGUGGCCGAAGGUAGGCUUGAUGAUUGGGGUGAAGUCGUAACAAGGUAUC